This 3682-nucleotide long non-coding RNA is filed under the name Musa acuminata (dwarf banana). Its description in RNAcentral is "long non-coding RNA (MACU_LNC000930)". The record is from RNAcentral. Lineage: Eukaryota; Viridiplantae; Streptophyta; Magnoliopsida; Zingiberales; Musaceae.
UCACAUUCCGAGGCAUCUCCGGCGAUCGGCGAAGACGAGAGAGAUGGCCAAGAAAGCGUUCCAGGUCGGCCUGGCGUUGGCCGUCAUGACCAUCGUGCUCUCGGGCCUCGCUUCGGCGCAGUCCGGCUGCACCACCACGAUCAUCAGCCUCGCGCCGUGCCUGAACUACAUUACCGGCAACUCGUCCACUCCCUCCUCCUCGUGCUGCUCCCAGCUGGCCAGCGUCGUCCAGUCCCAGCCGGCGUGCCUCUGCUCGGUGCUCAACGGCGGCGCCUCCUCGUUCGGGAUCACCAUAAACCAGACCCGAGCCUUGGCCAUGCCCGCCGCCUGCAAUGUCCAGACGCCGCCGGUCAGCGAGUGCAACUGUAUGCGCCACUCUGAUCCCAUCCCAUUCCAUUCACGUAGUGAGUCUCGAGCCUUGUCACAUGAACUGAUGAUUUAUUGAUGGUUGUGGCAGCUGUGGCCGGUGGACCGGAAAAAUCCCCGACAGCUUCACCGGCGACUCCAGCAACACCGGUCCCGUCCACACCAUCAUCUCCGAAAUCAGGUACAACAAUACUGACUUCCUUAAGAGUCAAAUCGAUCCAGAGCAAUUGAAAUAGAGACGAUUAGUUGCAGAAGACAAUUAGAAUAUUUAUGGUUGCUUGUUCUUAACGGUGCAGAAGGUGGAUCGAAGGCAACCCCGGCGACUACCUCAGAUGGCAGUUCUUACAAAUCAUCUCGUUCUCUGAUGCUUUCAAUCCUCUUCCUCGCCGGUUGCGUCUCCUUCACCGGCCUCUGAGUCCACCGCAACAAGAACUGGAUCAUCACUUCACUUCACUGCCGUUCAUUUAUUUAUGAGCAUCUGUCUGUGUCAACUCGAAUUCGUUAUCUUCUCAUGUUUGCACUGUAUUGAAGUGAUUUGGAGUUUGUUGUACUUAUUCUUAGUUGAGCUGAUUAAAAGAUUAUUGGUUUACUUAUAAUAUUAAUUGAUAUCGAGUACUGUAACCUAAUAAUUUUUUUAUAAUAAAUUUAAUCGAGGUAGAAUAUUCUACGAUAUAAAUGAAAUACAAGAAAAAUAUUAUUUUGAUUUUUUUAAUUUUAAAUUGAUAUCGACAUGAUCGAAACAUGAAUUACGAUACUACACGUCGAGUCAUGGAAAUGAAUAUUUUUUCUAUUAAUAUCCGUACAUUCAUAAUCAAAAUUUAGUAUUCUACAAUAAUAAAAGAAUAAUUAAGAUAAGUUACAUUAAUAUUUUAUCUUUGAGUUAAAUCUGAGCUGGAUUAUGGCACCAAAGUUACCUACUUCCAUCUAAUGCCUUUACUGAUUAUAUCAAACAUCAUAACGACCCAAGUAUAUAAAUAAUACUUAAUACAUAGCAUCCUCCAUUUCAUAGAAUAAGCCAAUCACCAGUCUUUUCUUAGUAGGAAGGUUUGAUUACCAACAUAGGCCCCACUCUGGGUCUCCCUAUCACCGCCGUCACCACCACCACCACCGACUAUUGAAGUCCCUCACGCCUCCCUCGCAAAGCCCAAGCCCAAGCUGCACUUCAGAACCACCUCCCGUUCCAAGGCAUCUCCGGCUAACAGCCACGAGGUGCGAGAUGGCCCAGAAAGCGUUCGAGGCGGGCGUCGCGUUGACCGUCAUGGCCAUCAUGCUCUCGACCCUCGCUUCGGCGCAGUCCGGCUGCACCACCGCCAUCAUCAGCCUCGCGCCGUGCCUGAGCUACAUCACCGGCAACACCUCCACGCUCUCAUCCUCGUGCUGCUCACAGCUGGACAGGGUCGUCCGGUCCCAACCGGCGUGCCUCUGCUCGGUGCACAACGUCUGGGCCUCCUCGUUGGGGGUCACCAUAAACCAGACCCGAUCCUUGGCCAUGCCGGCGGCUUGCAACGUCCGGACCCCACCGAUUAGCGAGUGCAACUGUAAGCACUCUGAUCCCUUCUCCUUCAAGUAGCAAGUCUCGAUUCACGUUUCACGGACUGAUGAGUGAUUGAUGAUUGCUGCAGCUGUGGCCGGUGGGCCAGCAAAAUCCCCGACGGCUUCACCGACGAGUCUAGCGACACCGGCCAAUCUCGCAAGAGGGACCCCAUCCACACCAUCAUCGCUUAGGGCAGGUCCAAUCACGCACAACUCCUGAGAAGAUUAGUCGCAGCAAACAACCAAAAUAUGCAUCAUUGACUUCAUCUUGUCUCUUAAUGGUGCAUGCAGAAGAUGGAUCGAUGGCAACCCGGGCCACGACCUCAGAUGGCACUUCCUACAAAUCACCUCCCUCUCUGAUGCUUUCAAUUCUCUGCCUCGCCGCCUGCGUCUCCUUCGCCAACCUCUGACUCGACUGGGAGAACUCGAUGAUGACUUCCUGCUGCCGUCGAUCAUUUGUUCGCAUGCAUCUGUUUGUGUCAACUCGGAUUCUUUCUUUUCAGCUUCCUCGUUGCUGCUCUGCAUUGAAUGAUUUGGAAUUUGAUGUACUUAAUUAUCCUCUGAGACGAUUAAAAGAUUGAUUGAUUUGCUCAUAGCUUCCUUGAAUCAUUAGAAGUCAAUUCCAAUUAAUGAAUGGCAGGACCCUUUCUUUCGACCAUAAGUAUUAUUUGAAUGAUAUCAUCCAAGUUUUUCUAAGAUUUUUUUUAUUUAAUCAUCCAAUCCAACUUGAAGGAUAUAAGCAUGAAUAAUAUUCAAAACAUAUUAUCUUUCAUAAAUUGUAGAGCUAUAAUUACAUAUUAUCUUGUAAUUUCGAACACUGAAAUGGUAAAAUAUAUCGUAUCUCAUGAAUAAAAAAUAAUAUAAUAUAUUUAUUUUAUAAUAUUUUAAUAUUAAAAACUAUACAUUCAAUUAGAUAAAUAUUUAAUAUAAUAAAAUUAAAUUAACAUGACCUCACACGAUCUUAGAUCCAACGAAAUCAGGAUCCGAUAUAUGACCCGAUUAAAAUCACGUAUAAUAGCCUAAUAACUUAAUAGUUGUUGGGUAGAUGUAAUCAUUAUUUGCUACACCAAUUUCGUUAUCGCUGUCUCCCUUUUCUUUCAAUGAUAUGGCGAGCUCAUAAGCUAAAUAAAGUCUACAAGCAAAUAGUAUAGAUAUGUCCAUCAUAAUCAACGCCUAACACCCGAGACUGCAACUUAACAACAUCUCGAUGCAGAAUCUAAGAAGAGCAAGUUGGAUUUAUGCUACUUAGAUUACCUACCUUCAUCUAAUGCCCUAACUAACUUGAUCAAACACGUAACGACCCAACUAUAAUGAUACUUCAACAUGGCGUCUUUUAUUGCAUAGAUUAAGCCAAUUAGGUUCCAAUCGACACCGGUCUUUUUCUUAGUAGGAAGGUUUGGCCAACGACACGAACCCAAAUCACCUAUUUGAAGCCCUUCACACCGUCCUCUCAUUCCACAAGCUCAACCUGCACUCAGCAACCUCCUCACAUUCCGAGGCAUCUCCGGCGAUCGGCGAAGACGAGCGAGAUGGCCAAGAAAGCGUCCGAGGUCUGCCUGGCUUUGGCCGUCAUGACCAUCAUGCUUCCCGGCCUCGCUUGGGCGCAGUCCGGCUGCACCACCGCCAUCAUCAGCCUCGCGCCGUGCCUGAGCUACAUCACCGGCAACUCCUCCACGCCCUCCUCCUCGUGCUGCUCCCAGCUGGCCAGCGUCGUCAAGUCCCAACCGGCGUGCCUCUGCUCGGUGCUCAACGGUGGCGCCUCCUCGUUCGGGAUCACCGUAAA